Long non-coding RNA from Numida meleagris (helmeted guineafowl), 3113 nucleotides. The record is from Ensembl. NCBI's taxonomy places the organism in Eukaryota, Metazoa, Chordata, Aves, Galliformes, Numididae.
CUCAGGUGGAAGAAAGAGUGGCCAUGGCCUAGCAGACCCCACCUUGCAACCAAGCCUUUCCCUGCUGGCCCUGCUCCUAUUGCCAGUAGAAAGGAGAAGGGUGGGCAGGGAAAAAAGCCACUCGAACUUGCCUGCAGCUGAUGUGAGGGGCCAGACUGGACAGCCAGCAACAAAAAGGGGUCAGAAACCAGCCUUGAGUCAACUCCACAGCCUUUUUUGCAUGUAAAGCACAAGAAUGGAAUGACUUCAGAGUCUGAGUCCAGCUGCCCCCCAUUUGGCUCAUGGCAGGACAAAUCUAGUGACUCUGUAAUCUGUGUGCCAGGCAUUUUUUGAAGCAGGAACAUAAUUUAAUUCCCUUUAAGGAGAUCAAAACCAGGAAACGUUUAAGUAGGACUUCCUGCCCAGUGUGAAAUACAAAUUCUUUUCAUCAUGGAAAGCAAACUGAGCUUAAACAAUAGCAUAAUGAAAGUGGUUAUGCAAUGAAGUUGUAAGAGAUCAAAGCCGAUUUUGGUUUUCAAUUAAGAUAACAAGGUACCUGGCUAAAGGAAGCUAGUGGUAAUCCACUGCCUAACUGUUUAAAGAAACACAAACACUUGCCCAUUAAUUUGCUGCAUGCACAGAAGAAAAUGAGGCAGCAGAUGAAUUUGUUCUUACAGUCAGGAUUUGAAACUGGGAAAUGUGCUGCUUGAAUUUAUCUGUAUCAGAGACCACAAGAGGACCAGAUUCAUCCUCCAGUUUUGUAGUGCCUACAAUUUCAGGCCAGAAGGGACCGUCCAACACCCUUCAGUCUGCCAUCUUGCAUUUCCAGACAAGGGUCCCAUUACCCCACAUAAUGUGAGGAUGAAGCUGGACAGGUGCUACCUGCCUGCAUCCCACCCCAGCGCACGAGGUCUGGUCAUGCACAGCCCCUCAGCAGGAAGCUGUUUGUAUAUUUGCACUGGGGGAAAAGGAGAAAGAGCAGGAGGGAUUGGCUCCCUCUGCAUGCACCAAGUUGUCCACAAGUGCUGCGUGCUGUCGGCAACUUCUCCUUGGACCAUUAAGAGCGAGGGCUGGGUUCCUCAGCACAGCAGUGGCCAUGCAGGUGCAUGAGCACAGCAGGAGAGUGCCAGUUGCAUUGCUGCCAAAAGCUGUGUGUCCAGAACUGCAUCCCAGUGGCCCCUUGGAUUUCAUUCCUCUGGAUGCUUUCUGGAAGAACGGGGACAACUGUGAAGUGCCCAGGCCCCCAGCAACAGGGAUGCAUCAGUAAAUGCGAGUAACUCAAGGAAGUAAACGGUUGGACCAGGCUGUCUUCAAAACUGUCCUGACUGUCUUGUGAGUUCCCUCACUUCUAAGAACUGGCAUCAGUGAAGUAUAUGGAAUGGGGCAGAUUUUAAAUUCCCCACCUGGAAAGCAAAUACCAAAGUCACAAGCUGCUGUCGCCUUUGGUACCUGCAGGGACUGGCCCCAUCAAACACAGUUAGCACAUGCCAGGGAGAGAAGGACCUUUUCUUCAGUGUUUACUGCAUCUUCUGUCCAGCAUCCUUGCACAGCACUGAGCAGGGACAGUGAUGUGUCAGCUCCAGGGGUGACACUGCCAGGAUGCAGCAUGGUGCCUGGGCACUAAUCAUUAUUUUUAACACUACAUGCAUGCCAGGGUAUUUUAGUGUGUAAGGAUGUGCAGUGCCAAGUUGGGUCAGAGCUUGAAGUUAGAUUAUUUUUCCAUAAAGUGAGAGCUUUGCAAAUUUCAGGCUUGGAUAAAUAAUUACUGCCCUUUUUUUAAGGAUUUUAUUUACAAGAGCAUCAAAAUGAAAGUGACAGCAGUGAUAGCAAGUAAAUUACCACUGCCUAAUUGGGCCCAAAGAUAAUUUAGGGCCUGAAAUGUCCCUUCGUGUAGACUGACAGAGAAAAGAAAAGCAUACCAGACACAUGCACAUUGGCUUUACCAGUUCUUAAAUUUCUUAUUUUUCUGCUAAUCACUGAAGUGUGAAAAACAUGCUAUGUUCUUCCCUGCUGCUUUUUCUGUAACCAGAUACUUGUAGGACUUGCAGUUGGAGAUGUUUAUUCAUCAUUAGACACAGAGACAAAGUUAUCAGGUACUAUUUGCUGACAUUGUCGAGUUAUAGAAUCAUUAAGGUUGGAAAAGACCACUAGGAUCAUCUAGUUCAGCCAUCAACCCAUUCCCACCAUGCCCACUAACCAUGUCCCUCAGUGCCACAUCCACAUGGUUUUUGAGUCUCAGAAGCUCUGCUGCUCUGAACAUCUCAGGCAGUCCUGCUCAGUGAUGGCUGGAUUCAGUGCUAAAAAUGCCAGUAUUGGCUGCUGCGCUCAUGAAUAGACCUCAUUCCUUGACAGUGAGAGCCCAAAAUGUCACAGAGGCACUUGUACAUCCUUGCAGAACUGUCCCUCAAAAGUGAGCAGCAGAGGCAAAGCCCUUAUCACCAUGUCACUGGUUAUAGAACAACAACAACAAAAAAGCCUUUAAUUAUUGCACUGGAAACAAAAUUACUUACAUGUGGUAGGUGCAAAGGGAUUCACCAGCAAACUAUUUGAUGUAGGCUCCUAACUGAAUAGAAAUGUUGAUGGCUUCAAGGUUUUAUGCCACAGCAGUUUAGAUCACCAGGACUGAAUAACUAUUUGAGAAUGAACUUUUAAGUUAAAGGUUACUGUUCUGCAUGUCCUAAGGGAUUUUGUUCAAACAUAAGCUCGUUUGUUUGUUGGCUUGUUUUUUAAAGAUAUAAAUGGAGAUAAUUUCUCAAAUAAUUUCAUAGUUUUAUAACGUAAGGUGCACAUAACAAAUCCACAGAUAGAAGAAUAUAGCCCCAACCUCUACAUAGCAUUGGAAUAUGACUCUAAAAAAACACAAGAACAUUGAGGGAGCAUGCCUUAUCCCACAGGAUUCAAGACAAAGAAAGGGCAUGCCAGGCUGUAAAGUUUAAAAAAGCUCUGUGACUGAAUUACAUGAAAAAGGGCUCAAUCACAGAAGAAAAUACAGCUAGGUUAAUGGGGAAGAUGUCACUUUUACAGGUGUAGAGACUUGCUAGAUCCGAUUUAUCAUCAGAAGCCAAACUUGUGAAAUUUACCUUGCUCUCUAGCAAAAAAAUAAAUAGAAAGCAUCAUUCUAAAAAGAAUGCUUU